CCUUGACUACGUUGAGAGAUAGACGGUAUAGUCGUUGUAAUUUCAGAGUGAGAACUUAGCUAGCUACGCGUCAUUAAGAGAGCGGCUACGCUGGACGUAGCAGCGUAGCAGCUCUGGCCGCGUAGCAUUCGUAGAUAAAGCAAGGUUACUACCGCAGACCUUAACCCAGGGUUAAUUUUGCGUUAAACCACUAUCUACAAAAAUAAAUUAAAUCUAGUCGCGUUAUCCAACAACGUACGUUGCAAAAAUAAUAUUCUUAAAAAAAAUAUUCGAUUUGGAUAAAGUUGUUAGUAAUUUCACAGUAGAGUAUUGGUAAGUAAACCAUUAACUUUCGUAGAGUAUCGAUUAGUUAUAGAAGAAGUUAUUUCUUGCCGCAGGGACGCUCUGGCCCCUUCUCCAACAAGACCUAGUAAAGCCUAGCAAUAGAACGGGCGCGACUCAUUCGGAAUGUUUUCUAUAUCAAUGUAAAAUCAAACAAGUGAAUAAAGACUAAAUGAAUAUAAUAUUAAUAUUUUCCCGUCCUAGUUAGGUUGUUAGGUACAUACUAGUUUAUCCAAAAACUUCAUGACAUUUUGUAAUUUAUAAAAAUGUAUAGGAAAGUUUUGUAUAUUAUUAAUAAAAAACAUAAAUAAAAAUA
Spodoptera frugiperda (fall armyworm) is the source of this 637-nucleotide long non-coding RNA. RefSeq lists it as uncharacterized. The record is from RefSeq and is a predicted model, not a curated record. Lineage: Eukaryota; Metazoa; Arthropoda; Insecta; Lepidoptera; Noctuidae. The transcript has 2 exons.